AUUGAACGCUGGCGGCAAGCCUAACACAUGCAAGUCGAACGAGUGGCGGACGGGUGAGUAAUGUCUGGGAAACUGCCUGAUGGAGGGGGAUAACUACUGGAAACGGUAGCUAAUACCGCAUACCAUCGGAUGUGCCCAGAUGGGAUUAACUAGUAGGUGGGGUAAAGGUUCACCUAGGCGACGAUCCAUAGCUGGUCUGAGCGGAUGACCGGCCAAAAUGGAACUGAGACACGGUCCAGACUCCUACGGGAGGCAGCAGUGGGGAAUAUUGCACAAGGGGCGCAAGCCUGAUGCAGCCAUGCCGCGUGUAUGAAGAAGGCCUUCGGGGUGUAAAGUACUUUCAGCGGGGAGGCGUUACCCGCAGAAGAAGCACCGGCUAACUCCGUGCCAGCAGCCGCGGUAAUUC
Molecule: ribosomal RNA, 406 nt
Filed under: uncultured bacterium
Lineage: Bacteria
Description: partial 16S ribosomal RNA
Rfam family: Bacterial small subunit ribosomal RNA
Source: RNAcentral